Acromyrmex echinatior (Panamanian leafcutter ant) is the source of this 925-nucleotide long non-coding RNA. The record is from RefSeq and is a predicted model, not a curated record. Lineage: Eukaryota; Metazoa; Arthropoda; Insecta; Hymenoptera; Formicidae.
ACGAAAAAACGGAAUUUUAAAAGAAAUAGGAAUAACUUUAAAGUCAAUGUCACCGCGAAAAAGGGGUAUGUAUAAAAUUCAUCGUAAAGUUACUGCACAAUUGUGUAAAAUGAAAAAACAGCUUCAUGACAAAAGGAAUGCUUUGAAAAACUUAAAAUCUAUGUAUGACGACAAUGUUUUUGAAUGCAUUAAUAAUAAACUGAAUAGCAUUAUAACAAAUUUUAUCAAUUAUGAAAUGCAGAUCGCACUCCUGUUGGAAGAAGAUGAACAGAAGAGAAUAAGACUUUCGUUUUGUCGAUGUACAAACGGAAUCCUUGUCUCUACAAAUAUUUGUCCACCUACUUUCAAUUGUCAUCAAUCCGGAUACUAAAACAAGUUUUGUCAAGGAUUCCUUUUGACACUGGAAUAAAUGAACUCCUUCUAGAACAAUUAAAAAUAAAAAGCGAUGAAAUGGACGAACUAGAUCGAUAUUGCACUUUAGUAUUCGAUGAAAUAUCCUUAAGUAAAGGUUAUCAUUACGAAGCACAUAAAGAGCAGAUUACUGAAGAUUAUGAAGAUAGAUGAGUUGGGUCGAACUUCUAAAAACUGUUAAUCAUGCGCUCGUUUUUAUGAUUCGUGGCCUGAGAAGAUCUUGAAAGAGAUGGUAUCAAAGUAAAAGUAACAGUUUGCGACCAAGGAAACCACUCAAAGAAGAACCCUAUCCGAAUUGUGUGCAGAGAAUAAGAAGUUUCCAAAGAAGAUGAAAGGCUAAUAAAGAUUCGUUAUUUGCAACUCAACUGUUACAUAAUCAUCAAGUAUCAUUGGUUUAACAAGUUAUUGCAAAAUCAGAACUUGUAUGUCCAAAUAAUGACACAAGUGAUACACAAAAAACAUCAAGAGAAUGUAAAAAUUCUACUGAAGAAAAAGAUAUAACAUAUUACUACAC